GGGGGGAGCAAGCGUUGUUCGGAUUUACUGGGCGUAAAGGGCGCGUAGGCGGCCACCGCAAGUCAGUUGUGAAAUCUCUGGGCUUAACCCAGAAAGGUCAACUGAUACUGCGGGGCUAGAGUGCAGAAGGGGCAACUGGAAUUCUCGGUGUAGCGGUGAAAUGCGUAGAUAUCGAGAGGAACACCUGCGGCGAAGGCGGGUUGCUGGGCUGACACUGACGCUGAUGUGCGAAAGCUAGGGGAGCGAACGGGAUUAGAUACCCCGGUAGUCCUAGCCUUAAACGAUGAAUGCUUGGUGUCUGGGGUUUUAUAGUCCCCGGGUGCCGUCGCUAACGCUUUAAGCAUUCCGCCUGGGGAGUACGGUCGCAAGACUG
This 373-nucleotide ribosomal RNA is filed under the name uncultured bacterium. RNAcentral's name for it is "bacterial SSU rRNA". It matches the Rfam family "Bacterial small subunit ribosomal RNA", at positions 527 to 896 of the family's 1533-position model. RNAcentral also lists the same sequence under 1 other name. The record is from RNAcentral.